This 171-nucleotide ribosomal RNA is filed under the name uncultured Rhodobacterales bacterium. RNAcentral describes it as "partial 16S ribosomal RNA". It matches the Rfam family "Bacterial small subunit ribosomal RNA", at positions 335 to 523 of the family's 1533-position model. Lineage: Bacteria; Pseudomonadati; Pseudomonadota; Alphaproteobacteria; Rhodobacterales. The record is from RNAcentral.
ACCCCUACGGGGGGCAGCAGUGGGGAAUCUUCGGCAAUGGGCGCAAGCCUGACCGAGCCAUGCCGCGUGAGCGAUGAAGGCCUUAGGGUUGUAAAGCUCUUUCGCCUGUGAUGAUAAUGACAGUAGCAGGUAAAGAAACCCCGGCUAACUCCGUGCCAGCAGCCGCGGUAA